CUCACCCUGCGGUGUUCGUAUUUAAUUGCAAUAAUGUAAAACCAACACUUUUAAAAAGGGAACGUAGGUCUCCGAUUAUGGCGCACAUGCCUCCUUUGCCUUUGGCAAUGCCAGUGGACUUGUAAAGUAAUCGGGCUACAGCCCACCUGCAAUGCAGGUUUUUACCUUAUGCAAUAUACGGCACAUGCAGGGUUUUU
RNAcentral lists this non-coding RNA (197 nucleotides) under Clostridia bacterium. RNAcentral's name for it is "6S RNA". It matches the Rfam family "6S / SsrS RNA". From Rfam's summary of the family: E. coli 6S RNA was the first non coding RNA to be sequenced, but its function was unknown until recently. It consists of 184 nucleotides that fold into an extended hairpin structure with a large single-stranded internal bulge. Lineage: Bacteria; Bacillati; Bacillota; Clostridia. The record is from RNAcentral.